Molecule: signal recognition particle RNA, 298 nt
Filed under: Homo sapiens (human)
Lineage: Eukaryota; Metazoa; Chordata; Mammalia; Primates; Hominidae
Description: Metazoan signal recognition particle RNA
Rfam family: Metazoan signal recognition particle RNA
About the family: The signal recognition particle (SRP) is a universally conserved ribonucleoprotein. It is involved in the co-translational targeting of proteins to membranes.
Source: Rfam by way of RNAcentral
GCUGGGCAUGGUGGCGCAUGCCUGUAAUCCCAGCUACUCAGGAGGCUGAGGCAGGAGAAUCGCUUGAACCUGGGAGGUGGAGGUUGCAGUGAGCUGAUAUCGCACCAUUGCACUCCAGUUGAAGAUCCUGAUUUCUCUAUAUUCUUGUCACUACUUGUGUUUUGUUUUGUUUUGUUUUGUUUUUUGUUUUUGGAGAUGGAGUCUCGCUCUUGUCCCCCAGGCUGGAGUGCACUGGUGGGAUCUCUGCUUAUUGCAACCUACCUCCACCUCCUGGGUUCAAGCGAUUCUCUUGCCUCAG